Molecule: long non-coding RNA, 943 nt
Filed under: Homo sapiens (human)
Lineage: Eukaryota; Metazoa; Chordata; Mammalia; Primates; Hominidae
Description: HSALNT0156470
Source: RNAcentral
UCUAAGAACAUGGAGCUCAUCAGGAGGUGCACGGACAGGAUGCGGUUUGGCCAACGUCCCUCAUGUGCAGGGCAGAGCCUCUGAUUCAUGGACCUGCCUCACCAGGGCCGCUGCUCUCCAUCUGCCCGAGCAGGAGGCCCGGUCUCCACUGCCUGACACUCCUGAGUCGCUCCCUCCAAGUUGACCCGGUGACUUACCGUGGGUCAGACGCACCAUGACCACACAGACAUUCCAUCCAGGAAAAGGAGCAAGUGAGGCCCAUGCACACCCGAGAGGCCACAUGCAAGUUCAAGUGAGCCCUGCACUCACUUGACAGCCUAUGGGGGCUGCCACAAGGGCUGCCUCGGGUCUGCCCUCCCUCCUACUCUGCCAGACCUGCAGACCCCAGCAGUGACUCGUUCCUGCCACUGACUUCAGGGAAGCCUGGGCCGGUGCCCCAGGGUCCGUCCUGUGAGGCUUCUGGACUUGUGACCCCAGUCAAAGGGAGGGUGUCCUUGUUAUAAGACAAGCUGGUCUGCCCUGCAAGGGACCAUGAGAGGUCACCUGCAGCCAAGGCCCCAAAUGGAGGGGAGCCUCAGGAAGGCAUGCAGUGAGGACCCCAACUGGGCCCUGAAUGAAUGGGGUUUGGGGCCGGAGCCCAGCCCCAGAGUCGCGCACUCCUUGGACAAGGUUAAGGCCAAGGCACGCAGUGCUGCCCAUGUCCCCAAGAACAGGGAAAGAGGGCUCUGGCUGGGUGGGGCUCAGGCCUGGGUUCAGCCCCAAGCCCACUGGCCCUGGGUGAGCACAGAUAUCCUCAGGGCAUCUGUGGUGGGACGAAGGAGCCAAGACAGCGUGGCAGCCCUGUGCCCAAGCUCGCCGCACAGGGUCCGUGAGGAGUGACAGGAGGGGCAGGCCAAGGAGGGGAGAGGAACUUCAAGCACCACGCUCCACGCAGGCAACUUAC